ACGUGAUCUGAGUUCAGACCGGAGUAAUCCAGGUCAGUUUCUAUCUAUAAAGGGCUUUUUCUAGUACGAAAGGACCGAAAAAGCAUGGCCAAUGAUUUAUUAAGCCAUACUAAUAAAUUAUGACUUCAACUUAAUUAUUAAAAAACCUUAUAUUCUACUCAAGACAAGAGAA
Molecule: ribosomal RNA, 172 nt
Filed under: Boana aguilari
Lineage: Eukaryota; Metazoa; Chordata; Amphibia; Anura; Hylidae
Description: Hypsiboas aguilari partial 16S ribosomal RNA
Source: RNAcentral